UCGUCGCAUUUCGCGAACACUGGCGGUCUGAUCCACCGCAAGGAGUGUUCUUUUCCGGAAAAGUGGUUGAAUGGUGACAACCCGUGAGCCCUAGAGGGGUUAUAUGCACUGGAGAGUAGUAGUGGCACUGGCUUGAGGUCUGCGGUGCUGACCAAGAGAGCAUUGGUUUCAGAUUGGGUACUUUUGGACUUCUUGACCGGUUGACGCAUAUGUCUAUAGUAGCAGUCGUUGCAUGCAUACUUACAGUUCUUGCUUUAUAGUUGUCUUGCUACUAUAGUAGAUAUUCAUGUAUGCUUUCUGUUCCAGUUACAGUAGCGGUAGCCGUUAUUCAGUCUAGUUCUUACUUUCUUUCAGUUUAUUGCUACUGUAUUCAGUAUAUCUGCUUAUCACCUUAUACAUCUCUUUCGUUUAUUAUUGUUCCUACUAUGUUUCUACUGACCGGUGUUGUUGUAUAGCUCUUCCUGAUCCGGUGAGUACUCCUCGCCUUCUUCGGCUUGCGGUACCCACUGGGAAGGGAGACAUGUUUACAUGUUCUCACCUCCCCCACUAUUUUUCAGGUAUCGCGGGCGGUGAGGGUUGAGAUUGGACGUGAGAUACGUAGCGGUCGAUAGAGCUUCCGACCUAGGUUAUUCGGUUUAGUUCUACCCUUACUAUUAUGUUGAUAUAGCUUAGAUAGUUUAUAUGGUUCAGUAUAUUUUAUUAUAUUUGAAAAUAUGGGUUUUCAUGAAUGUAAUAAAUGGAUUUGUGAAUUUUGUGAAAUGGAAAGGUUUUCUACCCCUUGUGGUAGUGUUUUUAAAGAAUAAAGGUUUCUGUAUAGGAAACAGUUUUCAAAAGAAUUUUCUGUGGAUUUAUGUUUAAAUAUUAAAUGCAAAUCUGUGAUGUGAAUGGUGAAUGUAUGAAUGUAUGAAUGAAUAAUUAUUUCUAUAUUCAUUUAGUUGUGGUUGUAUCCUGUUUGUACCGUUGUACUUGUGCGACGCCGUGCAAAUACAGGGGAGACUCUGUCCGUGUGAACAGUGGAAUCCCUGUAUUUGUGGCGGAUCUGGCAUACUCUGGGGUCAGGUUUUCAAAAAAAAAAAAAAUUUAGACGCUUUUAACGCUGUGUUCAAAUAAAAAGGGACCCCGGGGCGUGACAGCAUCACAUCUAAAUUAUGACGUAUAAGAAGUUUUUCCCAAUAUGGUAAGGAGAAAAAUAUACUUUUUUUCUUCC
Molecule: long non-coding RNA, 1207 nt
Filed under: Ananas comosus (pineapple)
Lineage: Eukaryota; Viridiplantae; Streptophyta; Magnoliopsida; Poales; Bromeliaceae
Description: long non-coding RNA (ACOM_LNC044174)
Source: RNAcentral